CACGUAGGGGGCGAGCGUUGUCCGGAUUUAUUGGGCGUAAAGAGCUCGUAGGCGGUUUCGUAAGUCGGAUGUGAAAACUCCAGGCUCAACUUGGAGACGCCAUUCGAUACUGCGAUGACUUGAGCCCGGUAGGGGAGUGUGGAAUUCCUGGUGUAGCGGUGAAAUGCGCAGAUAUCAGGAGGAACACCGGCGGCGAAGGCAGGUCACUGGGCCGCAACUGACGCUGAGGAGCGAAAGCAUGGGGAGCGAACAGG
RNAcentral lists this ribosomal RNA (254 nucleotides) under uncultured bacterium. Its description in RNAcentral is "partial 16S ribosomal RNA". It matches the Rfam family "Bacterial small subunit ribosomal RNA", at positions 524 to 776 of the family's 1533-position model. The record is from RNAcentral.